This 89-nucleotide ribosomal RNA is filed under the name Sinorhizobium sp. A49. RNAcentral describes it as "partial 23S ribosomal RNA". It matches the Rfam family "Bacterial large subunit ribosomal RNA", at positions 2844 to 2925 of the family's 2925-position model. The record is from RNAcentral. Lineage: Bacteria; Pseudomonadati; Pseudomonadota; Alphaproteobacteria; Hyphomicrobiales; Rhizobiaceae.
ACUACCACGUUGAUAGGCUGGGUGUGGAAGUGCGGCAACGCAUGAAGCUUACCAGUACUAAUCGUUCGAUUGGCUUGAUCGUUCCCAUU